ACAUAGCAAGACCUCAUCUCUUUAAACAAACAAAAGAAUAAAAAAGCCUUAGCCCAGCCAUGGUACAGAAGAGGCCAAUGAGGGUUUGGCCCCUCACCUUGCCUGACACUUCAUCUUCUCCUCUAAACACGAUCAUUACCAGCUGCCUGUCAUCUGCCUAUAUGGAGACAUGUGGGCUGAUUUCUGCUUUGGUUGAAGUCUGGUCGUUCGUUCAGCAGAUAUGUAUUGAGCAUUUCUGUGCCAAAGGGAGUAAGAAAGAGAAAGGGCAACCACGGCCCUAACUGACCAUCAGUGGGAUGAGAGAGUGAUGGUGACUGCUGUGAGGAACAUGCGGCUCUGCAUGAGCGACAUGGGUCUGGGCCUGACCAGGCCGUGGUGGGGUCUUAUUGGCGGAGAUGGGGAGAACUUUACUCCAGGCCCAGAGAAUGACACGAGCAAAGCUGGGUGAAGGGUCAGCAAGUAGACAGGUGUGUCCAGAGCAGAAGGAAGCAGGACUUUGAAGAUAAAUAGACCCUGUUGAGGGCUUUGCAAUGCAGAACAAAACAAGGAGGGUGGAUUUUAUUUUGGAGACUUCCCCUACCCCCGUCCCUGGAGCUGUUGCUGGCGUAAUGGAGGGACACAGUGGGAUCACAUGCUGCUUGUGGGAGGGUGAAUUUUGUAGAUCCUUGAAAGGGAGUGGGAGGGAGGGAGAGAUCAGAUAUAGAAUAUCAAGGGAAUUGGAACACCUUGCCAAUGUAGUCACUAUGGCAAGUCAUUUCUAGUAACCUGGGGACAUGCCGUCCUCCUACAGCCCUCCCAGAGCCCGUUCGUACAAUGUUGCAGGUAUUUGCUGUGAUUACUUUUCCCAUUUUCCAGAAGACCUAGGUGGGAUUUGGCCUGAAGGAACCUGGUUCUAAGGGCAGGUUGGGGGCAAGAGGGGAGACGUGGGGCAGUAGUCAAAAGCGAGGAUGGCAGCAGCCAAGGAAGAGGCUUUGGUGAAGAGCGGCCGAAGCGAGACCAUAGGACACGAUCUUGGGCACGCGUGUCUAGGAGGCUGCCCCGGCCUGCUCCUCCUUCCUGUGGUGUGUGUGGGUGCCCUGGAGUAGAUCAUUGGGCAGUUGCUGCUUUGCUGCAUUCCCACCGGCCAGUGAAUUUGUUUUAGUCCUCAGGUGCUUUACAUAAGGAGGAAACCAUGUAACCUUCACAAGUUUUUUCCCAGUCAUUUAAAAAGGCUUGUUUUCCAGCCGAAGGCAUGUCGAAUAAGCUUAAUUUCUCUCACUCAGAUCAGCUUAAUUUCUCUGUGAUGUGCAUACAGAGAAUUGCUUAAUUCUCCUUUUGCAACAUGUUUUCCCAGCUGCUGAGAGCCCUGCUUUUUUUCCAUGGGCCUCCUGACAGAAAUACAAACAAUUUAAAGCCAUGCGGUACCAACUGCUCUUCGUCACCACAUGGACUGUGGAUGUCAGUGUGUUUCCCCUUGGGCUGGAUUUGUCUGGAGCUGGUGGCUGCUUUCUUGUCCUUCCGUGCCUCCUGGGAGUCAGGGAUCAAGGCCGUGCUGGGUUGUGCUGAGAGCCACAGCCCCUCCUUCAAGUGGGGUACCCUCCCUUCCCAGCCUAGUCCUACAUCCUUGUUGUGUGAGGAAAUGAAGUCUGUUCCUUGGAUGCGUUCUGACGGGAAACAUGUUUUCUGUGGCACCUCUGCUUAGUCUUUCAGUGCAACACAAACAGCCUUUUGAUACCUUGUUUUGUAAAAAGUACAUUUCCACAAUGGGGCUUGACACUGUUCAUAAAUAAACACAUCCGUUUACAGGCAAAGCAAGGGAAGAACACAUAAGGGAACAGUUUGACCAGGGGUUUUGCUUUUCCCUCUGUGAAUGCCUGGUGUGCACCAUCCAUCCGAGGAUGACUAGGGGAGAACACUAUUCUGUGGCUGCCAAAACCACAACAAAUGACAACUUUCCAUUCUGUCAUCUCUCUCGGCACCACUGCUAGCAAGCAAUUCAUUUUUCUACCAUAAAAGGGCAAUAGAACUUGUCUAUAGCUGCGGUGUCUUCUGCUCUGCAGAGAGAGAGCAGGAGACCGGCAGGGAGAGGCACUCUCAGCAGUAGGCGCAACCGUGCUCACCCCGUGCCUAACAGCCUUGCUUAGUCCGGGCUCCGAGGCAGCAGCAGCCAUAAGAAAAAACAGGAGAGGAAGGCGAUGUGGCGCUUCUGCCGGGCCCUCAGACUGGGGAGUGUGAGUUUUACAGAUAUCCCAGUCCAAAAAAAAAUAAGACAAGCCUGAUAAUAAGUAUGGAUAAGGAAGUCUCCAGAAGAUACACUGUCAGAUGUGUAAAGCAAGGUAAGGUGCGCAGAGUGAGCCUUCUGCUCACUUUGUAUAAAUGUAAAGGAUAAAGCUGGUAAAUACAUGCGCCUUUAACUUUUUUCUUCAAAACCUAAGCAUGAAACACAAACUGCUACAGGAAGGCUUGACAAGAGGGGAGUUUUUGCUUUUUGUUUAUAAUAACUUCUGUAUUUCUUAGCACAUUCAGUAUGUGUUCUUCUUUUCACUAGUGUCAACAGAGAUACGAACAUUUAAAUUUUUUUAAAAAGCUUUAGGAUAGAAAAGAGGUGUAGCUGGGCAAUUUCCUUUGACAUGCGGUUUGUCUGAAAUAGAGCAGCCCCUUGUUUAUGAUUUCCAGAUAUGUGAGUCUGUUUUUUUAUGUACAGGUUUUACCUUGGCUCAAUUUACUGUCUAGUUACAUUUUAACAGCUUUCUACUCUGCUUUUUCUCUCAAUAUAAAAGUAAUCGAAAGAAGACUAAUCAUUUUUGAAAUGCUUUCAGUUUUACACAGUUCUGUGCGUGAAAGCCUGGUGUCCCCACCAGCCAACUGUGGGAAUCCAGGACAUAGAGCAGGAAUAGCUGCUGCUUAUUUACUGCUCUAAUUACCUCUUCGGUUCCAUUUGCGGUCGCUAGUUCCUUCCAUCAAGCAAAGUGAAAAUUGUCAAAACGGCUGUUUUUCCCUCCUGGAAAACAGAAAAAAGAAUAUGGCAAGAUGUUAACUGUGGCAUGACAGUCCGGGAUUCUGGACACGACCUACAUAAUCUUCCUUGUAUCUCUUUGUGACUUGGUUUCCUCAUCUGUAAAAUGAGAAAUGGGGAUCCUGUUUUCUGUCCCAGCCCCCUUCAGGGUGGUUGUGAGAAGCAAAUGAGGCCGCAACAGUAGAGACAGGGUUUCACCAUGUUGGCCAUGCUAG
Molecule: long non-coding RNA, 3210 nt
Filed under: Homo sapiens (human)
Lineage: Eukaryota; Metazoa; Chordata; Mammalia; Primates; Hominidae
Description: HSALNT0339069
Source: RNAcentral